RNAcentral lists this long non-coding RNA (2702 nucleotides) under Sus scrofa (pig). Its description in RNAcentral is "lncRNA (ENSSSCG00055022506.1)". Lineage: Eukaryota; Metazoa; Chordata; Mammalia; Artiodactyla; Suidae. The record is from RNAcentral.
GCAAAUCUUUCUGGCUUUCCCAAGAAUCUGUGAUGGGAAAUUGGCAAUUUGGAAACAAUGUGAGAGAUGGAUCUAACAUAGCAGUGACUCUUUUGGAAGAUUUUUAGUGUUGGGGAAAGAACUUCUCAGGGGUCCGAAGAGAGGAAAUUUAGGUGGUGAAGCAUGAACUCAUAUCCCCAGAGCUCAAGAAUGGCUGUCCUGGAGGUCGAGGGAACUGACAGGUGGAGACCAGUGAUGUUACUGCUUCCAAACUCAGCACCUAAACAUCUGCAUUGCUCAUUGGCUAUUAGUCAUAUAAUGCCUGUUCCAGUUUUCUGUUAUCCCUGGCUAAAUCUUAGACAGGCAUGCUUCAGAGAUAUUGCAAGUUUGGUUCCAGACAACUACAAUAAAUCUAAUACUGAAACAAAAGUGAGUCACAUGAAUUGACUGCCUCUUCUUUUCAUGAAUUAUUUCUCUGUAGCAUGCAAUGCUAUUUGAUAACAUUUUAUACAGAGAACUUCUUUCAACUUUGGAGUCAGUUUUCUCAAACAGUGUUGCUGCUCUAUCAACUAAGUUUAUGAAAUAUACUAAAUUUUAUGUUGUUAUUUCAAUAAUAUUCACAGCAUCUUCACCAGGAAUAGAUUCUAUCUCAAGAAACUGCUUUCUUUGCUCAUAUCUAAGAAGGAAUUCCUCAUUUGUUAAAGUUUUAUCAUGGGAUUGUGGCAAUUUUGGUCAGAUCUUGAAGCUCUACUUCUAAUUCUAAUACUCCUGCUAUUUCUACCACAUUUGCAGUUAUUUCCUACAAUGAAGUUUUGAAGCCCUCAAAGUUAUCCAUGAGGUUUGGAAUCAACUUCUUCCAAACUUCUGUUAAGUGUUGAUAUUUUGAUCUCUUCUCACGACUCACAAAUGUUCCUAAUGGCAUCUAGAAUAGUGAAUUCUUUCCAGAGAUUUUUAAUUUAUUUUGCCCAGAUCCAUCAGAGGAAUCACUAUCUGUCGCAGCUAUAGCCUUACCAAAUGUAUUUCUUAUAGAAUAAGACUUGAAAGUAAGUGUGAUUCCUUGAUCCAUGGACUGUAGAAUGGAUGUCGUGUUAGCAGCCAUGAAAACAACAUUAAUUUCAUUUUAAAUCUCCAUUAGAGCUCUUAAGUGACCAGGUGCAUUGUCAGUGAGCAGAAAUAUUUUGAAAGGAAUCUUUGUUUCUGAGCAGUAAGUCUCAAGAGUGGGCUUAAAAUAUUCAGUUAAAUCAAGUUGUAAACAGAUGUGCUAUCAUCCAGGCUUUGUUGUUCCAUUUAUAGAGCACAGACAGAGUAGAUUUAGCAUAAUACUUAAGGGCCCUAGGAUUUCCCAGUGGUAAAGAACGUUGGCUUCAACUUAAAGUCACCAGCUGCAUUGGCCCCUAAGAAGAAAGGCAGCCUCUGAAGUCUCUGAAGCUUUGAAGCCAGGCAUUGACUUCUCCUCACUAGCUACAAGAGUCGUAGAUGGAGUCUCCUUCCAAUAUAAGGCUGUUUUAUCUACAUUGACUAUCUGUUUAGUUAGCCACCUUCGUGAAUCAUCUUAGCUAUACCUUCUGGGUAUCUUGCUGCAGCUGCUAUAACAACACAACUUGCUGCUGCACCUUGUACUUUUAUGUUGUGGAGACAGCUUCUUUCCUUAAAAUUCACUGACCUGGAGUUCCCGUAGUGGCGCAGUGGUUAACGAAUCUGACUAGGAACCAUGAGGUUGCGGGUUCGGUCCCUGCCCUUGCUCAGUGGGUUGACGAUCCGGCGUUGCCGUGGGCUGUGGUGUAGGUUGCAGACGUGGCUCGGAUCCCGCGUUGCUGUGGCUCUGGCGUAGGCCGGUGGCUACAGCUCCGAUUCCGCCCCUAGCCUGGGAACCUCCAUAUGCCGCGGGAGCGGCCCCAGAAAUAGCAACAACAACAACAACCAAAAAGACAAAAGACAAAAAAAAAAAAAAAAAAAAAAAAAAAAAAAAAUUCGCUGACCAACCUCUGCUAGCUUGUACCUUUUCUUCUGCAGCUUCUUAACCUCUUUCAGCCUUCAUAGAACUGAGGAGAGUUAGGGCCUUUCUCUGAAUUAAGCUGUGAUAAGGGAAUGUUUUGGCUGUUUGGUCUUCUAUCCUGAUCACUCAGACUUCUCCUUAUUAGCGAUAAGAUUGUUCCACUUUCUUGUUAUUGCUGUGUUCACUGGAAUAGCACAUUUAACUUCCUUCAAGAACUUUUCCUUUGCAUUUGCAACUUAUCUAACUCUUUGGUGCAAGAGAACUAGCUUUCAACCUGUCUUGGCUUUCAAUAUGCCUUUCUCACUAAGCUUAAUCAUUUCUAGCUUUUGAUUUAAAGGAAGAGGCUCUUCCUUUUCCUUGAACAUUUAGAGGCCACUGUAGGGUUAUUAAUCAGUCUAUUUUCAAUACUGUUUUGUCUCAGGGAAUAGGGAGAGGAGAAGGAGGGAGAUGGUGCAUUGGUCAGAACUUACACAAUAUUUCUUGAUUAAGCUCACUGUCUUAUGUGGGUGUGGUUUGUGUUAUCCCAAAAUAAUUACAAUAGUAACAUCAAAGCUCACUGAUCACAGAUCACCAUGACACACGCAAUAGUAACAAAAAAGUUUGAAAUAUUGCAAGAAUUACCAAAAUGUGACACAGAGACACAACAUGAGAAAAUGCUUUUGGAAAAAUGGUGCCAAUAGAUUUGCUCUACCCAGAGUGGCCACAAAACUUUAAUUUGAAAAAAAAA